UGGUUGCUGAAAAUUGUCUUGUUGCUUCUCUUUCUUGAUGGGUUCUUAAUUUUGUUCUGCAAUCUCAGAGUAGUUUAUCUUAUUGUUAGCCUUCAAUCUAAAUGGGUUAUUGGAUGACAAAAGUCUUUGUAUUGUUUUGUUUGGAUUAUCAGAUCCAGUAGCCACUAGCCAAGGUAAUAUAAUAGAUCUGAGUUUAAAAGAUCCGAGCUUUGUUGCCAUGGACAUCGAGUUGGUCCGGUCGAAUUGCGAAGCAAGGCUAAAAGGAGGAUGUUUAGCUUUAUCAGUGGGUGGCAAGAACUAACAAGGGUUAUGAUAAGCAGAUAUGGCAAGUAGCUGAACACGAGAAAGGCGAUAAACCGUUCAUCACUUUCUAAUAUCAAUCAUGAUAGGGAAGGAAGAUUGAUACAAAGGAUAUUAUUUUCAUAUGUGGGGGUGCCAUUAUCGACUUAGAGAAAACCAUCUCAGAAGAUGCCAAGAUUGCUUUAUUGGGUUAGGUGCUCCAGUUGGAGCAAACAUGAGAACUGGUGGUGUUACAGAUGCUGCGGUUACAUCAUCCUUAUUGGAGAUUGAGCUGUGUCAAAGAUUAUAUGGAGAGAACAAGCACCAAGGCUGGGACAACAGAGGGAUUGACGUUUUUUUUUUUUUUUUUUUUUCGGGGGUCUUUUUCGGAAGAGAUCCGAGGCUUCCAUUUUGAUAUUGG
Molecule: long non-coding RNA, 700 nt
Organism: Rosa rugosa (rugosa rose)
Lineage: Eukaryota; Viridiplantae; Streptophyta; Magnoliopsida; Rosales; Rosaceae
Exons: 6
Source: RefSeq, a predicted model, not a curated record